Molecule: ribosomal RNA, 250 nt
Filed under: uncultured bacterium
Lineage: Bacteria
Description: partial 16S ribosomal RNA
Rfam family: Bacterial small subunit ribosomal RNA
Source: RNAcentral
ACGGGUGAGUAAUGUCUGGGAAACUGCCUGAUGGAGGGGGAUAACUACUGGAAACGGUAGCUAAUACCGCAUAACGUCGCAAGACCAAAGAGGGGGACCUUCGGGCCUCUUGCCAUCGGAUGUGCCCAGAUGGGAUUAGCUAGUAGGUGGGGUAACGGCUCACCUAGGCGACGAUCCCUAGCUGGUCUGAGAGGAUGACCAGCCACACUGGGACUGAGACACGGCCCAGACUCCUACGGGAGGCAGCAUG